RNAcentral lists this long non-coding RNA (342 nucleotides) under Bos taurus (domestic cattle). RNAcentral's name for it is "long non-coding RNA NONBTAT000952". The record is from RNAcentral. Lineage: Eukaryota; Metazoa; Chordata; Mammalia; Artiodactyla; Bovidae.
UGUCUGAGAGGUGGCCAGAAAGACAUUCUACUUCCUAUUGGUAAAUGUAUGAUUUCACAGUGGUACCCAUGCCUAGAUAUCAAACUCACUGUUAGGAAAGAUAUGUUGCAUAAAUAAUAAUUUCUCAACUAGAUAAAAUUAUUACUUUUCACAAAAAAGUUAUGACACAGUUUAAAAACUUUUUUUCAUUUAGAAAUGAAUUUUACUAAUUAUUAUUUUCUUUUGUGUGUAUCUAUCUAUGUAUCAAUGGUCUUUCAGAGUUAAUCUCUAGAAGUCAAACAUGGGCAGCCCUACAUAAGUUAAAUAACUACCUGGAAUUUUUUAAAUGAACAUGAAAACCAU